CGAGCCGGCUGGGUGACCGCGGCGCCACGCCGGCAACGGCGGCGGCGUCGAGGAAGGUCGGGGCUCCGCAGGGCAACGGUGCUGGCUAACGGCCAGUCGAGGCGACUCGCAGGAAAGUGCCACAGCCCGGACUCCGGGCCGGGCAAGGGUGAAACGGUGCGGUAAGAGCGCACCAGUGUCCCGGGCGACCGGGGCAGCUCGGCAAACCCCACCGGGAGCAAGGUCAAGCAGGGGGCGGCGGCCCGCCGGCGCUCAUUGGAGCGCAGCCCCCGGGUAGGCCGCUGAGAUGGAUGGUCACCCAGGGCCCUCGGGCCUGGACAGAACCCCGCCUACAGGCCGGCUCGCCGU
This 348-nucleotide RNase P RNA is filed under the name Acidimicrobiia bacterium. Its description in RNAcentral is "RNase P RNA component class A". It matches the Rfam family "Bacterial RNase P class A". From Rfam's summary of the family: Ribonuclease P (RNase P) is a ubiquitous endoribonuclease, found in archaea, bacteria and eukarya as well as chloroplasts and mitochondria. Its best characterised activity is the generation of mature 5'-ends of tRNAs by cleaving the 5'-leader elements of precursor-tRNAs. Lineage: Bacteria; Bacillati; Actinomycetota; Acidimicrobiia. The record is from RNAcentral.